Molecule: ribosomal RNA, 1376 nt
Filed under: uncultured bacterium
Lineage: Bacteria
Description: 16S ribosomal RNA
Rfam family: Bacterial small subunit ribosomal RNA
Source: RNAcentral
UGAACGCUGGCGGUAUGCUUAACACAUGCAAGUCGAACGGAAACGAUACUAGCUUGCUAGUAGGCGUCGAGUGGCGGACGGGUGAGUAACGCGUAGGAAUCUGCCUGAUAGUGGGGGAUAGCCCGAAGAAAUUCGGAUUAAUACCGCAUAAUCUAUUCGUAGUAAAGUGGGGGACUUUCGAGCCUCACGCUAUCAGAUGAGCCUGCGUAAGAUUAGCUUGUUGGUAGGGUAAAAGCCUACCAAGGCGACGAUCUUUAGCUGGUCUGAGAGGAUGAUCAGCCACAUCGGGACUGAGACACGGCCCGAACUCCUACGGGAGGCAGCAGUGGGGAAUAUUGGACAAUGGGGGCAACCCUGAUCCAGCAAUGCCGCGUGUGUGAAGAAGGCCUGAGGGUUGUAAAGCACUUUCAAUUGUGAAGAAAAGUUAGCGGUUAAUAACCGUUAGCCUUGACGUUAACUUUAGAAGAAGCACCGGCUAACUCCGUGCCAGCAGCCGCGGUAAUACGGAGGGUGCAAGCGUUAAUCGGAAUUACUGGGCGUAAAGCGUGCGUAGGCGGUUUAUUAAGUCAGAUGUGAAAGCCCCGGGCUUAACCUGGGGAACUGCAUUUGAAACUGGUCAACUAGAGUAUGGUAGAGGAAAGUGGAAUUUCUGGUGUAGCGGUGAAAUGCGUAGAUAUCAGAAGGAACAUCAAUGGCGAAAGGCAGCUUUCUGGACCAAUACUGACGCUGAGGUACGAAAGCGUGGGUAGCAAACAGGAUUAGAUACCCUGGUAGUCCACGCCGUAAACGAUGAUAACUAGCCGUUGGGGGGAUUUACCCUUUAGUGGCGAAGCUAACGCGUUAAGUUAUCCGCCUGGGGAGUACGGCCGCAAGGUUAAAACUCAAAGGAAUCGACGGGGACCCGCACAAGCGGUGGAGCAUGUGGUUUAAUUCGAUGCAACGCGAAGAACCUUACCUGGUCUUGACAUCCUGCGAACUUUCUAGAAAUAGAUUGGUGCCUUCGGGAACGCAGUGACAGGUGCUGCAUGGCUGUCGUCAGCUCGUGUCGUGAGAUGUUGGGUUAAGUCCCGUAACGAGCGCAACCCCUAUCCUUAUUUGCCAGCACAUCAUGGUGGGAACUAUAAGGAGACUGCCGGUGAUAAACCGGAGGAAGGCGGGGACGACGUCAAGUCAUCAUGGCCCUUACGACCAGGGCUACACACGUGCUACAAUGGGAAGGACAAAGAGCCGCGAAGCCGCGAGGUGUAGCUAAUCUCAUAAACCUUUUCGUAGUCCGGAUUGGAGUCUGCAACUCGACUCCAUGAAGUCGGAAUCGCUAGUAAUCGUAGAUCAGAAUGCUACGGUGAAUACGUUCCCGGGUCUUGCACACACCGCCC